CGGCAUGCUUACACAUGCAAGUCGAACGGCAGCAGCAGAAGCUUGCUUCUGGCUGGCGAGUGGCGGACGGGUGAGUAAUACAUAGGAAUCUUGCCCUGUAAGUGGGGGACAACUUCGCGAAAGCGUAGCUAAUACCGCAUAAUUUCUUCGGAGCAAAGCAGGGGACCUUUCGGGGCCUUGCGCUUUAGGAUGAGCCUAUGGCAGAUUAGCUUGUUGGUGGGGUAAUGGCCUACCAAGGCAACGAUCUGUAGCUGGUCUGAGAGGACGAUCAGCCACAUUGGGACUGAGACACGGCCCAAACUCCUACGGGAGGCAGCAGUGGGGAAUAUUGGACAAUGGGCGCAAGCCUGAUCCAGCAAUGCCGCGUGAGUGAAGAAGGCCUGCGGGUUGUAAAGCACUUUCAGUAGGGAGGAAAUGCUUAAGAUUAAUACUCUUAAGAGUUGACGUUACCUACAGAAGAAGCACCGGCUAACUCUGUGCCAGCAGCCGCGGUAAUACAGAGGGUGCAAGCGUUAAUCGGAAUUACUGGGCGUAAAGCGUGCGUAGGCGGAGAUUCAAGUCGGAUGUGAAAGCCCUGGGCUUAACCUAGGAACUGCAUUCGAUACUGGAUUUCUAGAGUAUGGUAGAGGAAAGUGGAAUUUUCGGUGUAGCGGUGAAAUGCGUAGGUAUCGGAAAGAACACCAGUGGCGAAGGCGGCUUUCUGGACCAAUACUGACGCUGAGGUACGAAAGCGUGGGGAGCAAACAGGAUUAGAGACCCUGGUAGUCCACGCCGUAAACGAUGAGAACUAGACGUUAGUCUCCUUCUAGUGAGAUUGGUGUCGUAGCUAACGCGUUAAGUUCUCCGCCUGGGGAGUACGGCCGCAAGGCUAAAACUCAAAGGAAUUGACGGGGGCCCGCACAAGCGGUGGAGCAUGUGGUUUAAUUCGAUGCUAC
RNAcentral lists this ribosomal RNA (935 nucleotides) under uncultured Gammaproteobacteria bacterium. Its description in RNAcentral is "bacterial SSU rRNA". It matches the Rfam family "Bacterial small subunit ribosomal RNA", at positions 40 to 960 of the family's 1533-position model. The record is from RNAcentral. Lineage: Bacteria; Pseudomonadati; Pseudomonadota; Gammaproteobacteria.